UACGUAGGGUGCAAGCGUUGUCCGGAAUUAUUGGGCGUAAAGAGCUCGUAGGCGGUUUGUUGCGUCGGCUGUGAAAUCCCGAGGCUCAACCUCGGGUCUGCAGUCGAUACGAGCAAACUAGAGUGUUGCAGGGGAGACUGGAAUUCCUGGUGUAGCGGUGGAAUGCGCAGAUAUCAGGAGGAACACCGAUGGCGAAGGCAGGUCACUGGGCCGCAACUGACGCUGAGGAACGAAAGCAUGGGGAGCGAACAGG
This 253-nucleotide ribosomal RNA is filed under the name uncultured bacterium. RNAcentral's name for it is "partial 16S ribosomal RNA". It matches the Rfam family "Bacterial small subunit ribosomal RNA", at positions 524 to 776 of the family's 1533-position model. The record is from RNAcentral.